CCUACGGGAGGCUGCAGUGGGGAAUAUUGGACAAUGGGGGCAACCCUGAUCCAGCCAUGCCGCGUGUGUGAAGAAGGCCCUCGGGUUGUAAAGCACUUUCAGUGAGGAAGAACGCCUGGUGGUUAAUACCCAUCAGGAAAGACAUCACUCACAGAAGAAGCACCGGCUAACUCCGUGCCAGCAGCCGCGGUAAUACGGAGGGUGCGAGCGUUAAUCGGAAUUACUGGGCGUAAAGCGCGCGUAGGUGGCUUGAUAAGCCGGUUGUGAAAGCCCCGGGCUCAACCUGGGAACGGCAUCCGGAACUGUCAAGCUAGAGUGCAGGAGAGGAAGGUAGAAUUCCCGGUGUUGCGGUGAAAUGCGUAGAGAUCGGGAGGAAUACCAGUGGCGAAGGCGGCCUUCUGGACUGACACUGACACUGAGGUGCGAAAGCGUGGGUAGCAAACAGGAUUAGAUACCCGUGUAGUC
RNAcentral lists this ribosomal RNA (465 nucleotides) under Vreelandella stevensii. RNAcentral describes it as "partial 16S ribosomal RNA". It matches the Rfam family "Bacterial small subunit ribosomal RNA", at positions 338 to 795 of the family's 1533-position model. Lineage: Bacteria; Pseudomonadati; Pseudomonadota; Gammaproteobacteria; Oceanospirillales; Halomonadaceae. The record is from RNAcentral.